GGCUCAGAACGAACGCUGGCGGCGCGCCUAAUACAUGCAAGUCGAGCGAGAAGACGUAGCAAUACGUUUGUAAAGCGGCGAACGGGUGAGGAAUGCAUGGGUAACCUACCCUCGAGUGGGGGAUAACUAGCCGAAAGGCUAGCUAAUACCGCAUACGAUUCCCGGACUGCGGUUCGGGAAGGAAAGCGAUACCGUGGGUAUCGCGCUCCUGGAUGGGCUCAUGUCCUAUCAGCUUGUUGGUGAGGUAACGGCUCACCAAGGCUUCGACGGGUAGCUGGUCUGAGAGGACGAUCAGCCACACUGGCACUGCGACACGGGCCAGACUCCUACGGGAGGCAGCAGUAAGGAAUAUUGCGCAAUGGACGAAAGUCUGACGCAGCGACGCCGCGUGGGGGAUGAAGGUCUUCGGAUUGUAAACCCCUUUCGGGAGGGAAGAUGGAGUGGGUAACCACUUGGACGGUACCUCCAGAAGCAGCCACGGCUAACUUCGUGCCAGCAGCCGCGGUAAUACGAAGGUGGCAAGCGUUGUUCGGAUUCACUGGGCGUACAGGGAGCGUAGGCGGUUGGGUAAGCCCUCCGUGAAAUCUCCGGGCCUAACCCGGAAAGUGCAGAGGGGACUGCUCAGCUAGAGGAUGGGAGAGGAGCGCGGAAUUCCCGGUGUAGCGGUGAAAUGCGUAGAGA
Molecule: ribosomal RNA, 681 nt
Filed under: uncultured nitrite-oxidizing bacterium
Lineage: Bacteria
Description: bacterial SSU rRNA
Rfam family: Bacterial small subunit ribosomal RNA
Source: RNAcentral